Toxocara canis (dog roundworm) is the source of this 74-nucleotide transfer RNA. It matches the Rfam family "tRNA". Rfam says of the family: Transfer RNA (tRNA) molecules are approximately 80 nucleotides in length. Their secondary structure includes four short double-helical elements and three loops (D, anti-codon, and T loops). The record is from Rfam. NCBI's taxonomy places the organism in Eukaryota, Metazoa, Nematoda, Chromadorea, Rhabditida, Toxocaridae.
GCCGCCAUAGCUCAGUCGGUUAGAGCGUGGGUCUAAUAAGCCCAAGCUCGGAGGUUCGACCUCUGCUGGCGGCA